RNAcentral lists this ribosomal RNA (482 nucleotides) under uncultured bacterium. RNAcentral's name for it is "bacterial SSU rRNA". It matches the Rfam family "Bacterial small subunit ribosomal RNA", at positions 28 to 498 of the family's 1533-position model. The record is from RNAcentral.
GAUGAACGCUAGCGACAGGCUUAACACAUGCAAGUCGAGGGGCGAGCACGAUGUAGCAAUACAUUGGUGGCGACCGGCGCACGGGUGAGUAACGCGUAUGCAACCUACCUAUCAGAGGGGAAUAACCCGGCGAAAGUCGGACUAAUACCGCAUAAAACAGGGGUUCCACAUGGAAUAUUUGUUAAAGAAUUAUCGCUGAUAGAUGGGCAUGCGUUCCAUUAGAUAGUUGGUGAGGUAACGGCUCACCAAGUCCACGAUGGAUAGGGGUUCUGAGAGGAAGGUCCCCCACACUGGUACUGAGACACGGACCAGACUCCUACGGGAGGCAGCAGUGAGGAAUAUUGGUCAAUGGGCGAGAGCCUGAAACCAGCCAAGUCGCGUGAAGGAUGAAAGGAUCUAUGGUUUGUAAACUUCUUUUAUAUGGGAAUAAAGUGAGGAACGUGUUCCCUUUUUGUAUGUACCAUAUGAAUAAGCAAUCGGCU